Oreochromis aureus is the source of this 73-nucleotide non-coding RNA. NCBI's taxonomy places the organism in Eukaryota, Metazoa, Chordata, Actinopteri, Cichliformes, Cichlidae. The record is from the annotation of a RefSeq genome assembly.
GUCAGGAUGGCCGAGCGGUCUAAGGCGCCAUGCUCAGGCCCUGGAGGCGUGGGUUCAAAUCCCACUCCUGACA